This is a non-coding RNA of Chlorocebus sabaeus (green monkey), 478 nucleotides long. The record is from RefSeq and is a predicted model, not a curated record. NCBI's taxonomy places the organism in Eukaryota, Metazoa, Chordata, Mammalia, Primates, Cercopithecidae.
CCUCCAAGUAGCUAGGAUUACAAGCAUGCAUCACCAUGCCCAGGGAGAUUAUCGUGAUUGGGCUCAACUUAAUCAGAGGUGCUUUUAAGAGAAAGACACACAUCAUGGAAAAACACAUCUGAUGGCGUGGAAGUAAGUGACUUCUAGAGGUGGGCCACAUGGUAUGCUUCUUAUGUUGGCCACAUGGCAGGAAAUAUAUUUGUAUAUUAUUAUCAUUUCUCCCUCCCACAUGUUGCUUCCAGUAAGGAGAAUAGGAGAAUCCCAUGGAGAGAAAAUUGAUUAAUAUAUGUAUCUAUAAUAAAUUGAUAUUAAAAAUUAAGAAAAAUUAUAUCUUACCUUUUGCUUACCUGCCGUCCCUCUUUGAGGAUGUAAACAAACCUAUCCUAGAUAAAGUGUUUGUAAAAGUAGACCCUCAUGUAAAGUAAGCUUGUUUUUAUAUAUAUAUAUAUAAAAAUUAAUAAAAUUAAAAAUUCUUUAG